This 253-nucleotide ribosomal RNA is filed under the name uncultured bacterium. Its description in RNAcentral is "partial 16S ribosomal RNA". It matches the Rfam family "Bacterial small subunit ribosomal RNA", at positions 524 to 776 of the family's 1533-position model. The record is from RNAcentral.
CACGUAGGGGACGAGCGUUGUCCGGAUUCAUUGGGCGUAAAGAGCGUGUAGGCGGCUCGGUAAGUCCGCUGUGAAAGUCCAGGGCUCAACCCUGGAAUGCCGGUGGAAACUGUCGAGCUUGAGUCCGGAAGAGGCGAGUGGAAUUCCUGGUGUAGCGGUGAAAUGCGCAGAUAUCAGGAGGAACACCAAUGGCGAAGGCAGCUCGCUGGGACGGUACUGACGCUGAGGAGCGAAAGCAUGGGUAGCGAACAGG